AGUCGAACGGCAGCACGGACUUCGGUCUGGUGGCGAGUGGCGAACGGGUGAGUAAUGUAUCGGAACGUGCCUAGUAGUAAGAUUUGUCGAAGAAGCGACAAAACCGUGGCAUGGCGCGUCGAAGAAAUGGGGACCUGUCCCGCACGAGUGAGCGCCGAUAUCGGAUUAGCGCAGGUUGGUGGGGUAACGGCUCACCAAGGCGACGAUCCGUAGCUGGUUUGAGAGGACGACCAGCCACAUCACCCAGAUGCGGCCCAGACUCACGGGAGGCAGCAGUGGGGAAUUUUGGACAAUGGGGAAACCCUGAUCCAGCCAUCCGCGUGUGCGAUGAAGGCUCAAGUUGUAAAGCACUUUUGGCAGGAAAGAAACGGCACGAUAAUACCCCGUGCAACUGACGGUACCUGCAGAAUAAGCACCGGUUAACUACGUGCCAGCAGCCGCGGUAAUACGUAGGGUGCAAGCGUUAAUCGGAAUUACUGGGCGCAAGCGUGCGGCAGGCGGGUUCGGAAAGAAAGAUGUGAAAUCCCAGAGCUUAACUUUGAACUGCAUUUUUAACUACCGAGCUAGAGUGUGUCAGAGGAGGUGGAAUUCGCGUGUAGCAGUGAAAUGCGUAGAUAUGCGGAGGAACACCGAUGGCGAAGGCAGCCUCCUGGGAUAACACUGACGCUCAUGCACGAAAGCGUGGGAGCAAACAGGAUUAGAUACCCUGGUAGUCCACGCCCUAAACGAUGUCAACUAGCUGUUGGGGUCUCCGCGCUUUCUUCCUGGUAGCGCAGCUAACGCGUGAAGUUGACCGCCUGGGAGCAUGGUCGCAAGAUUAAAACUCAAAGGAAUUGACGGGGACCGCACAAGCGGUGGAUGAUGUGGAUUAAUUCGAUGCAACGCGAAAACCUUACCUACCUACGUGUCUGGAAUCCCGAAGAGAUUUGGGAAUGCUCGCAAGAGAACCGGAACACAGGUGCUGCAUGGCUGUCGUCAGUCGUCGUGAGAUGUUGGGUUAAGUCCCCUGCAACGAGCGCAACCCUUGUCAUUAGUUGCUACGAAAGGACACUCUAAUGAGACUGCCGGUGACAAACCGGAGGAAGGUGGGGAUGACGUCAAGUCCUCAUGGCCCUUAUGGGUAGGGCUUCACACGUCAUACAAUGGUCGGGACAGAGGGUCGCCAACCCGCGAGGUAGGCCAAUCCCCAGAAACCCGAUCGUAGUCCGGAUCGCAGUCUGCAACUCGACUGCGUGAAGUCGGAAUCGCUAGUAAUCGCGGAUCAGCAUGUCGCGGUGAAUAUUCCUGGUCUUGUACACACCGCCCGUCACACCAUGGGAGUGGGUUUACCAGAAGUAGUUAGCCUAACCGUAAGGAGGGGCGAUUACCACGGUAGGAUUCAUGACCGGGGUGAAGUCGUGAAGCAAGGUAGCUCUGUUACC
RNAcentral lists this ribosomal RNA (1421 nucleotides) under uncultured Bordetella sp. RNAcentral's name for it is "partial 16S-23S ribosomal RNA intergenic spacer". It matches the Rfam family "Bacterial small subunit ribosomal RNA". The record is from RNAcentral. Lineage: Bacteria; Pseudomonadati; Pseudomonadota; Betaproteobacteria; Burkholderiales; Alcaligenaceae.